Molecule: ribosomal RNA, 305 nt
Filed under: uncultured bacterium
Lineage: Bacteria
Description: bacterial SSU rRNA
Rfam family: Bacterial small subunit ribosomal RNA
Source: RNAcentral
CCCUAGGGGGGCAGCAGUGGGGAAUAUUGGGCAAUGGAGGCAACUCUGACCCAGCAACGCCGCGUGAAUGAUGAAGGUCUUCGGAUUGUAAAGUUCUGUGAUGGGGGAUGAACACAAUGACGGUACCCCAAUAGCAAGCCACGGCUAACUACGUGCCAGCAGCCGCGGUAAUACGUAGGUGGCAAGCGUUAUCCGGAUUUAUUGGGCGUAAAGGGCUCGUAGGCGGUUCGUCGCGUCCGGUGUGAAAGUCCAUCGCUUAACGGGGGAUCCGCGCCGGGUACGGGCGGGCUUGAGGGCGGUAGGUG